CCUACGGGGGGCAGCAGUGGGGAAUAUUGCGCAAUGGGCGAAAGCCUGACGCAGCGACGCCGCGUGAGGGAUGAAGGUCUUCGGAUCGUAAACCUCUGUCAGCAGGGAAGAACGGUCACUUUGCUAAUCAGCAGUGAAUUGACGGUACCUGCAAAGGAAGCACCGGCUAACUCCGUGCCAGCAGCCGCGGUAAUACGGAGGGUGCGAGCGUUAAUCGGAAUUACUGGGCGUAAAGCGCUCGUAGGCGGUAUGUCCAGUCAAGGGUGAAAUCCCCGCGCUCAACGUGGGAACUGCCUUUGAAACUGGGAAACUGGAGUGUGUGAGAGGAUAGUGGAAUUCCAGGUGGAGGAGUGAAAUCCGUAGAUAUCUGGAGGAACAUCAGUGGCGAAGGCGACUAGCUGGAACAUAACUGACGCUGAGGAGCGAAAGCGUGGGUAGCAAACAGGAUUAGAUACCCCAGUAGUC
RNAcentral lists this ribosomal RNA (465 nucleotides) under uncultured bacterium. RNAcentral describes it as "partial 16S ribosomal RNA". It matches the Rfam family "Bacterial small subunit ribosomal RNA", at positions 338 to 795 of the family's 1533-position model. The record is from RNAcentral.